This 338-nucleotide ribosomal RNA is filed under the name uncultured bacterium. Its description in RNAcentral is "bacterial SSU rRNA". It matches the Rfam family "Bacterial small subunit ribosomal RNA", at positions 335 to 695 of the family's 1533-position model. The record is from RNAcentral.
ACUCCUACGGGAGGCAGCAGUGGGAAUCUUAGACAAUGGGGGAAACCCUGAUCUAGCCAUGCCGCGUGAGUGACGAAGGCCCUAGGGUCGUAAAGCUCUUUCGCUGGGGAAGAUAAUGACUGUACCCAGUAAAGAAACCCCGGCUAACUCCGUGCCAGCAGCCGCGGUAAUACGGAGGGGUUAGCGUUGUUCGGAAUUACUGGGCGUAAAGCGCGCGUAGCGGACUAUUAAGUCAGAGGUGAAAUCCCGGGGCUCAACCCCGAACUGCCUUGAUACUGGUAGUCUUGAGUUCGAGAGAGGUGAGUGGAAUUGCGAGUGUAGAGGUGAAAUUCGUAGAU